Molecule: ribosomal RNA, 517 nt
Filed under: Staphylococcus aureus
Lineage: Bacteria; Bacillati; Bacillota; Bacilli; Caryophanales; Staphylococcaceae
Description: bacterial SSU rRNA
Rfam family: Bacterial small subunit ribosomal RNA
Source: RNAcentral
UAAGGUAACGGCUUACCAAGGCAACGAUGCAUAGCCGACCUGAGAGGGUGAUCGGCCACACUGGAACUGAGACACGGUCCAGACUCCUACGGGAGGCAGCAGUAGGGAAUCUUCCGCAAUGGGCGAAAGCCUGACGGAGCAACGCCGCGUGAGUGAUGAAGGUCUUCGGAUCGUAAAACUCUGUUAUUAGGGAAGAACAUAUGUGUAAGUAACUGUGCACAUCUUGACGGUACCUAAUCAGAAAGCCACGGCUAACUACGUGCCAGCAGCCGCGGUAAUACGUAGGUGGCAAGCGUUAUCCGGAAUUAUUGGGCGUAAAGCGCGCGUAGGCGGUUUUUUAAGUCUGAUGUGAAAGCCCACGGCUCAACCGUGGAGGGUCAUUGGAAACUGGAAAACUUGAGUGCAGAAGAGGAAAGUGGAAUUCCAUGUGUAGCGGUGAAAUGCGCAGAGAUAUGGAGGAACACCAGUGGCGAAGGCGACUUUCUGGUCUGUAACUGACGCUGAUGUGCGAAAGCGU